GCGCGGGUUAAUGUGAUCGGAGGUUAUGACUGUCUUUGACGCAUCGUGAUCCUGGAAGUUCGUCCGAUAUACUCUUUGGUUCGACGGACAAAUAAUUUUCCUACUUUCUAAUUAUAGUCAAAAUAACAUGUCAUCUCAGUAAAGAUAAUAUUUGAUCGUUACUUAUCAAGAAUAUUUUAUUCAUUUUAAAACCAUGCCCCUGAACGGGAAACCAUCACGUUACGCACACCCUGAGGGGCACACGGACGUCUGUUAUUUUACUGGAGAAAAAGGAGGUCUACUCACCUGUGGAUCAGAUGGUGAUGUUCGAUCCUGGUUGAAUUUGAUGGACGAUGACCCUGAUGCGAGUUGUAUAUCCGAACAAGUUAUAUCCGUCGUCUCGAAGAAUGAUAAAAUCUACGUGGCAACAGACAAUAACACCGUACAGAUUCUCACCUAUCCAGACUUGGAGAAGGAGGGAAUUAUAACCAGGUUUUCAGCGACAGUGUGCGCCUUGGCAUCUUCCAAAAAUGGAAAUCUGAUCGUGUCCGGUGCAUGCGAUAUGCGGAUCCAAGUGAGUAACAUCCAGACCUGUGAUAGUAUUGAACUUAACGGACACCAGGGUCCAAUUUUAGGCUUAUCACUUGAUCCCCAAGAGCAGUUUGUUGCAUCUUCGAGUACCGAUGGCUCUAUCAGGGUCUGGGAUAUAAAAGAAAAGCAGGUUGCUCAUAUUUGGAACAAUGUCGUGCCAAAAGGUAACUCAUUUUUUACCUCCAAGACCUAUUCCACACCUUCGUUCCAAUGCGAGGAUGGAAAAACUCUGGCUUUUCCGCAGGGCAAAGAAGUUGUUGUUGUUGAAAGAGGCACCUGGAAAGAGUUGUUCAAACUUAGGUGCCCUGAUCUUAAAGCAGAACUAAGCAUAUGUAAAUUUUCUCAAUGCGGGACUCUUCUUGCGGCAAGUUCAAUUCAUGGAGAAAUAGUUGUGUGGGAAAUAGAAUCGAAGGAACAGAUAGGCUACAUCACGCAUGAUCGAAAUGCCAAAAUCACAUCCAUUGCUUGGAGUCCAAAUUUACCGAACGAAAUUGCAUUCUGUGAUUCAUUAGGAAUGCUGGGAUGCGUUGACGUGGUGGUUAAUUCAGUUGAAGAACUGUUCCCGAAAACAGUUGAUUCAAAUCAAUCGAAUCAAGACUUGGACAAUUUCAUAAAAAACUAUAAAGUUGACGAUGACAACGAUGAUGGAGAAAAUGUAAUAUCGUUGGAUAAAAUCAAGGCGUCAGUACAAAUAGAUUACGAUGACGAUUCUCAGGAACCAAUCGCCCAGCGCCCUGAAGGUGUGGAUAAGAAAGUGUCAUUGAAAGUAGAACCCCAAGAACCUUUUCAGCCUGGUUCUUCUCCAACUGUUCUGCUAAAUCGUUACAUGGCUUGGAACAAUACAGGGGUAAUUAAAUGCUACUCCUCAGAAGAUGGUCAAGAGUCGAGUAUCGAGGUCGAAUUUCAUGAUGCCAGCAUUCACCACCCAAUUCACAUUGACAAUUAUUUGCAACACACUUUGGCAUCGUUAUCUCCGAAAGCUCUCGCUCUUGCUUGUGUAGAUAAUGGCGACACGCCUAGCAAACUGGUCGUCGUCAGGUUACAAGGAUGGGGUUCUGGAACCAAAGAGUGGUCCAUCAAUUUCCCACAGGGUGAACUGCCCCUUUGUGUCGCCUCCGGUGAUAACUUCGUUGCUGUAGCGACGAGUAAAAGAAGACUGAGGUUAUUUACGGCCAGCGGAACACAAAGGAGAAUCAUUGCAUUACCCGGUGCUCCGGUCGCCAUCAAUGCACUAGGGAAUCAACUUGUAGCCGUUUGUCAUGCAGGAUUGUCAGGCGUACAGAAAGAGCAAUAUAUGACGAUGAUUUGGCUGCAAAUUCGUGGUUCAAAUAUUCGCAAUCGCUCCCUUGCCGUUCCGCUAUCGGGUCCGGAACUGAAGCUUGCUUGGGUAGGACUGACCGACCGAGGUUCACCAGCGGUGAUGGAUGAGGAUGGCGUAAUCUCGAUAUACGAUGCAAAAUCGUCGCUCUGGAACGUUGCUUGUGAUACAGCGAAUCAGUGCAAAGGAGCCGCGGAUCGCUUCUUCGUGAUCGGCAUUAGUGAAAUUGAUAAUAUGGUAAGAUGCAUAUUAUGCAAAGGGUGUCCUUAUCCGCAAACCGCACCGACUCCAACCCAGAUUGAAAUACCGCUCGAAUUACCAGUCUGCGAUCCAGAAUCUGUCAAGUCUAAAAUGGAAGCCAAACUUUGGCAACUGGGCACCGACCCGAGUGCAAAUGACGAAACGCUAUUGUCCAUGUUUGUCCUCGCUUGCCGCGGCAACGCCGAGUAUCGUGCCGUGGAUUUGUGCGAAGAAUUUGCGUCGCAGAAGGUUCUGGAAUUGGCUGUUAAGUAUGCCGGACGUCUUGGCCAAAUGGCUUUGGUUACCAAACUACAAUCGCUCGCGAGGACUAUAGAGGAUCAAGACAUCAACGAAGAAAAUGGAGGUAAAAUUCGGGAAAGAGAGGAUGAUAGAUUGUCGGUAAAUCAAGUCGACGAAGAAUUCGAAGAAGUCGAAAAUGCCGAUGAAUAUCUCUCAUUGACUCCUAUACAGGCUAAGCCUGCCGUAGAAAUAAGGCCAAUGAGUUUGAGCAUGAAGAGGCAAAAUCCGUUCAAAAAGAAUGGAAAGUCAUCAAGUCUGAAAGGCCUUCAAGCCAUGAAUCGAUUGCCCGAGAAUCCCCGCAGCUCACCAGCAGCUGAACCACCUCCGCAAAAACCGAAACCAAAACCAGCGUCUAAAUCGAAUCCAGCCAAGGAAUCUUUCGUCGUUUGGUUUGGAAAACAUAACGAAGAAAUUGCUGAAGAAUUUCCAGAAGUCGACAACAAACGGUUAACAAUGAUUGCCCUGGAAAGGUACAAGGAAAACGAGAAGGCGGCGUCGGCAGUUGAAACUUCCCUGAAAGAACGUGAAACUAAAAAACGGAAGUUGUCAGACGCGGAAAACGAGAAGAGUCAAAGCACAGAAACAAUCGCCCGUAAACUUUCUACAUUUGCCUACACGGAAUAAAUACCGGUGUAACUAGAUACAGACUGUCGAAUCGCGAAUUCAUAAUAUUUGAGUUCAAACGCCUCUCUGCAGACAGCCUGCAGUACCCAAAUCCUUCCGCUUUUGUGUAGAAAGUCCACAUCGCCUCAUAUCCUUACACCUUGAUACAGAAAAUCUAACCCGUAUAAUACAUUCGGUGCAAGUUUUCAUCGCAAAGAGGCGGAAUACGCAAACAGGUAAGAAAUAUGAUUCAUUUGCAAUAUUGGUGCUAGUUGGGUGGUGAAAAUUUUACCGACUAUAACGAAGAAUUGUAGUAUAAAGUUGUAGACAGGAAUUAGGAUAGGCGUGGCAUC
Neodiprion fabricii is the source of this 3384-nucleotide RNA transcript. It is a transcript of the gene named WD repeat and HMG-box DNA-binding protein 1, with no coding region annotated. The transcript is spliced from 14 exons. Lineage: Eukaryota; Metazoa; Arthropoda; Insecta; Hymenoptera; Diprionidae. The record is from RefSeq and is a predicted model, not a curated record.